GACAAAUGGACAGAAUGAAUGUACGACCUAGAGAUAAAACAAUCAGCUAUGCUGACGGCCAAAUGUAAGGAGUGUGGUGACCACUUCUGAGCUGGAGAAGACUUUCAGACAAAAAGCCAUCAAAAUAUGAAAGCUAAAAUUUUCAGCUCAAAGUUGGAAAGGAGUGACAAGAAGGGAUAUGCUCAAUGUGAACCUGAUCUUAGUGGGAAAGAAUACCAUUAUCAUUCUCACCAUUAAAUGAUCUGAUCCAUCCAUGCCUGCUGACCAUCAGCCACAGAUCAUUGGCUUGUCUUAUGGCAAAGUCAGUACACACCGGAACGUGGUUGCCUCAUCCGAAUGCCCAAGGAAAGUCUACGAGCUUCUCUCUCUUUCAAGUUGCUCUCUUUCUCGUCUGUCUCUUUGCACCAGAUCUGCCAGCCUCCAGGAGCUGAGAGGGGCAAGAUAGCGACGAGGCCCCAUCCUAGUGUAUGGUGUGUCAGUUGCUAACAUGGGUUCGUGGUGGUGGGUCCUUCUGUCUGUAUUCAAAAUCAUAGCAAUCCAUUUAGGCACCGCUGUUCCUUCCAGGCAAAUGUGCAAUAACACAGUUGGCCCAUUAACAUUGCAGCUGCAUAGAAGAUUAGUCACUUUGCGCUGUGCUGCCUGGUUAAAGCAUCCACGACCACUUACGGAAUUUGGGAAUAGCACUGCUGCAAUGAGCUGAUGCACUGUUUACAAUCAUUCUCAAUACAGACAACACAUCAUUCUUGGUUUUCUGUGUGGGUUGGGUGGCUGAAAACAUCUCCCACCAAGCUGAUACUUUUUAUACAGCUCUAGAGUGGGGGAAAAAAAGAGCCUUCCUGGUGCUCCUUCUGCUCUCCAUUGGGAUUCUCCAUUGAGGAAAAAGAUGGGUUUCAUCAACUGUCCCAAGAAAAUAGGCUGAUAACUUCCUCAAUUAAACUGUGGCUUCUUAAAUUCAGGGCUUGUGAUUAGUUACAAUGGAUCCUGAAGCCUCUACAGGAUAAGAGCUACGCAUGAUUCUCCUGAAGCAUUUAACAGCAUGGCACAUGCUAUUAGCCCCUUUGGUUUUAAUUUAUCCUGAGAAACGCAUCUCUUUUCAUGCAAAUAUUUUGUAGAUAUUGACGUAUGGACAUUUUAAAGAUUUUAGGAUAAACGGAAUACAACUUUGCAGAAGCUAUUUCCGUUUUCACUCCGCUUCUUAAAUAUAAGGAAGAAAGGCCCUUGGCACAAAGGGUGAGCCUAUUUCCAAACGUUCACUGGAGUCGGCUUCUUUGGCCCUCUCUGGGAUGUGAAGCGACAACAAUGUGAAAUAGCUCUCAAUUGCAAAAAUAACUAAUGGCAUCUGAAGGAGUUAGGCCAAAGAUGGCAAAUACCUCGUCCCAGGGUUUCAACUGAAAGCUGACCACACUUACCACAUUUCCACUCUGGAACAAAAUGAGGGGUGCCUGAGUGGCUCAUCAGUUAAGCACCCGGCUCAUGACUUUGCUCAGGUCAUGAUUUCAUGGUUUGUGAGUUCAAGUCCCACAUCAGGAUCCAUGCCAUCAGCAUGAGCAUGUCCUGCUUGAGAUUCUCUCUCCCUCUCUCUCUCUCUCUCUCUGCCCCUCCCCGAUCAUGCUCUCUCUCAAAAUAAAUAACUUAAAAAAAUAAUUAAAAGCAAGAAAUAUAGCACAUCAAACUGUAAUUAAAAUAAAAACUUAAACAAAUAUAUACAUAGAACAUACUAGAGAGAUGGAGGGGGGAAAGUCAGCUUUAUUACUGGUAAAACAUGCUUAAGAAGACUUUUUAAAUGUGUCACUGCAACUGGGUUUGCUAAUGCCUUCCCUAAAAUGACAGCCUCACCCCUGUUGCCACAAGACAUCACAGACAGCCCUGGAAUUAGUCUGCUCAGGCUGCCGUAACAAAAUACCACAGGCUGGGUGACUUAAACAACAGACCUUUCUUUUCUGACAGUUCUGGAGGCUGGAAGUGCAGGAACAAGGUGUCAGAAGAUUUGGUUCCUUCUGGGGUCUCUCUCCUUGGCCAUCUUCUCGCUGCACCCUCCUGUGGUCCUUUCUCCGCAUGUGUCUAUGUCCUGAAUCAUCUCUUUUUAUAAGGACACCAGUCAGAUUGGAGUAGGGCCCACCCUACCGGCCUGAUUUUAACUUAAUUGCCUCUUUAAAAGCCCUUUCUCCAAAUAGGGUCACAUUCUGGGGUACUGGGAUUCGGUAGGCAAGAAUUUUGAGGAGGUGAAAUUCAGCCUGCAACAUCCCUCCAGCAAGUGCAGACGGCUUGCUACAAGGAAAGGCAGAGAGGAGUUUAUUUUUCCGGGGGACAGCUCAGCUGAUCAUUUCUCAGUCCUGGUUGUACAUUAGGGCCAGCCAGGGAACUUUGAAAGCCAUCAGUGCCCGGAGCUCGACCACAGGUAAACUGAGGUCUAAUCUCUGGGACUGGGGCCAAGAUAUGAGUGGGUUUUGGAAGCCCCACUAGAUGAUGAUGGUGUGCAUUCAGCACUGAGAUCCACCAGAUUCACUCAAAAGAGGCAGAGAGAAAGGAGCAGGAUGGGGGCACACACUCAGGUCCUUCUUACAGUAUUCCCAAUUCCACGAGGUGCUUCCCUUCAGAAAGAUGAGAGGGGAAGGAAGGAGACUGACCGCCCCCUAAGUAUUCCUUUCCCUAUCCAGGAUGUAGGAGACAGGGAGCCUGGCUUAGCAGAAACACAUCAAUUAUGCCUGGCCUGGGGGAAGGAGUGUCUUGCUCCCCACCACUCCUCCUGACAUCUGCAAAGGAGGCGAGGCUCAGUGUCUAAGAACCAGGUCCUGUAUUGCCAGCUCAGGCACAACCUUCUCAAACCUUCAUCUCCGACCAUCUCCCUGGGGCAGCAAAUUGUUCCAACCUGCCCUUUGCACGGGACACUGAUGGACCGUGGGAAGCUGAGAUUUAGUUCUCCAUUUCCUGCACCCCUCUGGCUACUGGAUCUCAAUUCUGGGCAGCUGGUCAACCCAUCAGGAAUCCACUAAAGCAAAUCAUUUUGCUUCUCCACAGCAGGCUGACUUCAGUAACCACCAAGAAUUCAUUACUGCUCUGGUUUGUUUACACUCGCUAGGAACAGACAGUGCCUGUGAAUUAUUUGGAGACACGCCUUUCCCUAUAAAUCAGGUUUAAUCUAUGCUUCAGAUAUGUAAGACAGCAUCUGGAGCUUCCUCUUUUUUCCCCUUUUGUUUCUUUAGUCAAAUGAGUAUGGAGGCACCUCCCUUUACAGGUCAUAUCCAGUAGGAAAAACAAAAGACAAACAACAACAACAAAUAAAUAAAUACCUUCGAAUUCAGCUGUAUGGAUCUGAAGCAGUUGGACACCUGGGUUUUAGCCCCAGCACCACUGAUAACCAUUUAUAUGAAUUUUGGAAAAGUUAUUUAUCUCAUCUCUAACAGGAUGGAAGUAUUAGACUCGCCAUGAUUUACAUGAUGUGGAAUCUCUAGAUGAAUAAUGACAAAUGAAGACAGAAGAGAGACACUGGCCAUUUUUCAUUUAAUUAAAUUAACUAAAUUGUUACUGAUCACCUACUACGUGCUGGGACUGUGCUGGCAUCAAUAUAAAGCCAUCUAGAGCAUGCCUCUGCCAAGAAGUCCACUUUUAAACACACACCUUGGUUAGCAUGGUAGAGAAUAAGCAUCUUUACUGGCCAUGGCAGUUAUAAGGAUGUCUUGAUCGAUUUCUUUAAAAGAAUAAAAUAUUAAGGUUUGGGCUGCAUAUAUAUAAAUUUCUUUGGAGAAUGUUAGGAGCACCCUUUCCCCAGAGACAAGACAACCAAUAGCGAAGGUAAAAAAAAAAAAAAAAAAAAAAAAAAAAAAAGUAAAACAGAAGCCCAAAUUGAAAGAACAGCAUCAAUAUUUAAUCACAGCAGGCCACGGGCUGUUGAAGCAAAAGGUAUUAAAUGUAAUUGAAACCAAAGUAUUCCGAUUCCCACUGCGGGGUAUGAGGUGGACCAAGGAAGGGCCUUUUCUCUGGGUGUCUCUUUCCCACAACCUGCUGGAAUAUUCCCUAAGUGGAUUGUGUCAUUAGGAACACAUCAAAUCAAUAUCCUAGGAAGGGUUCGUGUGUGCGGGGCCAAAGCAUACCUUGGGUGAUUUCACCUCAUGUAACAGAUUGGUCUCUUAGCCAUACAGUAACAGAAGCAUUUUCUUUCUACAAAAUGGAUAGCACAGAAGAAUAAUCUAGCUAGCAUACUAAUAAAGGAAAAUAAAGGUAUCUGGGAAAACUCUUUGAAACCCUCAAUGGCUAAUUUGGGAAUUCCAGACUUUGUUACUGGAGAGACGCAGUAAAGGUAUUAUUAAACAACUCUAAUACACGAGAUGUAUUACAUCAAGGAUGCACUCUUAUUUUUGUAAUUGCCACUUAUCUCAAACCUUUUAUUCAUGAUCUCAGAGGACAUUUUCAAAAGCUCAUACUGUCACUAUACCUUGAUCAAGGUUAAGUGAGUCUUUCUUUUUCUUAUAGAAUGAUCACCUUCCUGGUCCCUUCUCCCCAACUCUCUGGUUUAAUAACUGUGUCUUUUCUGGGUACUGUUAUUAACCUGGGGUUUAUGAUCACCUCUCUGGAACAUCAGUUUAAUAAUAUCACCUAUCGUGAACCAGGGACAGAGUAUCUACAUUCUUUAUGAUUUGCCUUUUUGGGUGCCAACCUUGAUUACAGUCUUAACUAUGGUUGUGUGUUUGUGUGUGUGUGUGUGUGUGUGUGUGUGUGUGUAGGGGGGAGAGAGAUGUGGAACUACCAGUUUUCUAUACUUUGUCUUUUUGUCUUGUUUUGUUUUGUUUUGUUUUGUAUAUAUACUUGUUCUUUAAAGGUAAGUGACUGGCCAUAUUCUUGGUCCACCUCUCCAAGUACAAACAAUUUAUGCAUCCAUGGGCCACCAUCACACCCUUGGCAGAACUAGACACAGAAUCAAUAAAGAGAUACUUUGCAGGUAAAGGGGAGAGGCAAAGUGACCCACAGUCUUAAGCACAGCCACAUGGUGGGUUGUCCCUUCACUAGACACAGAUGCUCUGAGACAUAGGCAAUGACACUUGUGGGUGAUCAGAAGACCCAGAACACAUUGCUCUUGAAGCAUCAAGUGAACCGGGAGCAGGAUUUUAUUUUCCCAUAACUUUUCUCUUCACCAGAAUUGUGUUCUGAUGUGGUAUUCAAAAUAUGCAGCCAAAAACAUGUUUUGCAAUCUGCUGGACCAAAGCUAUUUAAAGAUUGUUUUUCCCGAGAAAGAGAAAAAUUCUAAGGAAAGGAUGCAUACCCGUGA
Molecule: long non-coding RNA, 5263 nt
Organism: Felis catus (domestic cat)
Lineage: Eukaryota; Metazoa; Chordata; Mammalia; Carnivora; Felidae
Exons: 3
Source: RefSeq, a predicted model, not a curated record